CAGUCGCCACGGGAAUACGUAGGGUGCAAGCGUUAAUCGGAAUUACUGGGCGUAAAGCGUGCGCAGGCGGUUAUGUAAGACAGUUGUGAAAUCCCCGGGCUCAACCUGGGAACUGCAUCUGUGACUGCAUAGCUAGAGUACGGUAGAGGGGGAUGGAAUUCCGCGUGUAGCAGUGAAAUGCGUAGAUAUGCGGAGGAACACCGAUGGCGAAGGCAAUCCCCUGGACCUGUACUGACGCUCAUGCACGAAAGCGUGGGGAGCAAACAGGAUUAGAUACCCGUGUAGUCCCUGUCUCUUAUAC
This 301-nucleotide ribosomal RNA is filed under the name uncultured bacterium. RNAcentral describes it as "partial 16S ribosomal RNA". It matches the Rfam family "Bacterial small subunit ribosomal RNA", at positions 509 to 807 of the family's 1533-position model. The record is from RNAcentral.